GACGAACGCUGGCGGCGUGCUUAACACAUGCAAGUCGAACGGAAAGGCCCUGCUUUUGUGGGGUGCUCGAGUGGCGAACGGGUGAGUAACACGUGAGUAACCUGCCCUUGACUUUGGGAUAACUUCAGGAAACUGGGGCUAAUACCGGAUAGGAGCUCCUGCUGCAUGGUGGGGGUUGGAAAGUUUCGGCGGUUGGGGAUGGACUCGCGGCUUAUCAGCUUGUUGGUGGGGUAGUGGCUUACCAAGGCUUUGACGGGCAGCCGGCCUGAGAGGGUGACCGGCCACAUUGGGACUGAGAUACGGCCCAGACUCCUACGGGAGGCAGCAGUGGGUAAUAUUGCACAAUGGGCGGAAGCCUGAUGCAGCAACGCCGCGUGCGGGAUGACGGCCUUCGGGUUGUAACCCGCUUUCGCCUGUGACGAAGCGUGAGUGACGGUAAUGGGUAAAGAAGCACCGGCUAACUACGUG
Molecule: ribosomal RNA, 468 nt
Filed under: uncultured bacterium
Lineage: Bacteria
Description: partial 16S ribosomal RNA
Rfam family: Bacterial small subunit ribosomal RNA
Source: RNAcentral